AAUAUUGCACAAUGGGGGAAACCCUGAUGCAGCCAUGCCGCGUGUGUGAAGAAGGCCUUCGGGUUGUAAAGCACUUUCAGUAGGGAGGAAGGUAGUGUAGUUAACACCUGCAUUAUUUGACGCUACCUACAGAAGAAGCACCGGCUAACUCCGUGCCAGCAGCCGCGGUAAUACGGAGGGUGCGAGCGUUAAUCGGAAUUACUGGGCGUAAAGCGCAUGCAGGCGGCCUGUUAAGUCAGAUGUGAAAGCCCGGGGCUUAACCUCGGAAUUGCAUUUGAAACUGGCAGGCUAGAGUCUUGUAGAGGGGGUAGAAUUUCAGGUGUAGCGGUGAAAUGCGUAGAGAUCUGAAGGAAUACCAGUGGCGAAGGCGGCCCCCUGGACAAAGACUGACGCUCAGAUGCGAAAGCGUGGGGAGCAAACAGGAUUAGAUACCCUGGUAG
Molecule: ribosomal RNA, 440 nt
Filed under: uncultured bacterium
Lineage: Bacteria
Description: bacterial SSU rRNA
Rfam family: Bacterial small subunit ribosomal RNA
Source: RNAcentral